GAUGAACGCUGGCGGCGUGCCUAAUACAUGCAAGUCGAGCGAACAGAUGAGGAGCUUGCUCCUCUGACGUUAGCGGCGGACGGGUGAGUAACACGUGGAUAACCUACCUAUAAGACUGGGAUAACUUCGGGAAACCGGAGCUAAUACCGGAUAAUAUAUUGAACCGCAUGGUUCAAUAGUGAAAGACGGUUUUGCUGUCACUUAUAGAUGGAUCCGCGCCGCAUUAGCUAGUUGGUAAGGUAACGGCUUACCAAGGCGACGAUGCGUAGCCGACCUGAGAGGGUGAUCGGCCACACUGGAACUGAGACACGGUCCAGACUCCUACGGGAGGCAGCAGUAGGGAAUCUUCCGCAAUGGGCGAAAGCCUGACGGAGCAACGCCGCGUGAGUGAUGAAGGUCUUCGGAUCGUAAAACUCUGUUAUUAGGGAAGAACAAAUGUGUAAGUAACGAUGCACGUCUUGACGGUACCUAAGCAGAAAGCCACGGCUAACUACGU
RNAcentral lists this ribosomal RNA (496 nucleotides) under uncultured bacterium. RNAcentral's name for it is "partial 16S ribosomal RNA". It matches the Rfam family "Bacterial small subunit ribosomal RNA", at positions 28 to 506 of the family's 1533-position model. The record is from RNAcentral.